UACGGAGGAUCCAAGCGUUAUCCGGAUUUAUUGGGUUUAAAGGGUGCGUAGGCGGGGUAAUAAGUCAGAGGUGAAAUCCUGCAGCUUAACUGUAGAAUUGCCUUUGAUACUGUUAUUCUUGAGUAUACAUGAAGUGGGCGGAAUGUGUCAUGUAGCGGUGAAAUGCAUAGAUAUGACACAAAACACCGAUAGCGAAGGCAGCUCACUAAACUAUAACUGACGCUGAUGCACGAAAGCGUGGGGAUCAAACAGG
RNAcentral lists this ribosomal RNA (253 nucleotides) under uncultured bacterium. RNAcentral describes it as "partial 16S ribosomal RNA". It matches the Rfam family "Bacterial small subunit ribosomal RNA", at positions 524 to 776 of the family's 1533-position model. The record is from RNAcentral.